Molecule: ribosomal RNA, 261 nt
Filed under: uncultured bacterium
Lineage: Bacteria
Description: partial 16S ribosomal RNA
Rfam family: Bacterial small subunit ribosomal RNA
Source: RNAcentral
AAACCUGAUAUGACUUAGUGGCGGACGGGUGAGUAACACGUGAGCAACCUGCCUUUCAGAGGGGGAUAACGGCUGGAAACGACUGCUAAUACCGCAUGAUACAUUUGGGUGGCAUCAUCUGAAUGUCAAAGAUUUAUCGCUGAAAGAUGGGCUCGCGUCUGAUUAGAUAGUUGGUGGGGUAACGGCCUACCAAGUCUACGAUCAGUAGCCGGUCUGAGAGGAUGAACGGCCACAUUGGGACUGAGACACGGUCCAAACUCC